GCCGCCCGCGACACUGCGAGAAGUCCAUUGAACCUUAUCAUUUAGAGGAAGGAGAAGUCGUAACAAGGUUUCCGUAGGUGAACCUGCGGAAGGAUCAUUG
This 100-nucleotide ribosomal RNA is filed under the name Polystachya fallax. RNAcentral's name for it is "partial 18S ribosomal RNA". It matches the Rfam family "Eukaryotic small subunit ribosomal RNA", at positions 1732 to 1831 of the family's 1831-position model. RNAcentral also lists the same sequence under 3 other names. Lineage: Eukaryota; Viridiplantae; Streptophyta; Magnoliopsida; Asparagales; Orchidaceae. The record is from RNAcentral.